Scylla paramamosain (green mud crab) is the source of this 1531-nucleotide long non-coding RNA. RefSeq lists it as uncharacterized. The record is from RefSeq and is a predicted model, not a curated record. NCBI's taxonomy places the organism in Eukaryota, Metazoa, Arthropoda, Malacostraca, Decapoda, Portunidae. The transcript has 2 exons.
CAGUCCUCCUCCUGCCGUUGCCGAGCUCCGUCCCGUCCGCUCGCUCGUAAUCAAUAUGAACACGCACACGCCUCCCGUCACCUCGCCAGGACUCACCACCGAGGUCUGCACCGCUACUUGCGACACCCACACAUCGGAGCCUCAGAAGAUGCCGAAAAAAAACCACCUCGCCAAGCAGGAGCGAACGGGAGAUUCCAAGGGUGGUGGUGCUGGUGGUGGUCUUAAUAUUUCCGAUGUUCUGUACCUGACCGAUGUGGACUCCGAGGCCCUGUGUCUCCACCCCCUCCACCAGCAGUGACAGGACCAUUCACCACCACGUCCUGUCCGUCACACUGACCAGGAUCCGAGCGUAAGUUCGCACGAGUAAGUGAAGACAACAGCCACGAAGGUGGAGCAUCCAGUAGCCGUCGUGUGUCAAGUGCCUUACAGACGCCCAAUGUAGAGGGAGAAAAACUGAGCCUGGGAAUUCUGUUCACCGAGAAAAAUUAUUGACACCUGAAGAGACCGUAAUAUAUGCGAACCGUGUACAGCGUCCCAGGGGCGUGAAGGGUCACCAAAGAACCUGGAAAUGGGCAAGACUCAUACACCAAAUGCAGUUUUUAGUUCGCCCUCCGCCAGUGUAUCACCGAUUCUUAACUGGAAUCCCACUUGACCGCUGCCUUCCACUGGACAUCGCUGUCUUCCAUCUAGUGCCGCUGUCUCCCUCCAGGAACCACUCUCCCAACUGUCCUGUUGUCUACUCUUGGCGGCGGUCCUCGUGUGCAUGGCCACUUUCUUAUCAUGUUUUAACUCGUUGGCGGAAUUAUAGACUUUCUCCCUUGUGUGUCCGAUUUUCGCACGAUAUCUUUAAAAUUUUGUGAAAAGACUUUAAUGAAAUUCUGAAAAAAAGGUGGAUCUAGGGCCUAGCAACAAUGGAUAAGCAUUUGAUACGGAUGUGAUAUGUAGGCUUCUGUGGUUCCAAGUCGCUUUCAAACUAACUAUAAUUUCCCAAAACCAAGAGGCGGAAGAGAAUAUUAAAGUUUUGUUUGGGUCAACGAAAAUACUUGCUACUUAGUACAUCAUUAUGUAGCGUUGACUGAAGUAUGCGCUCUUCGAGUGCCUUCUAGUUGUAUGUGUUGUAUGCCCUCAGCAAUCACGUCUUCCUAUCCGCGUCCUCUCAUCUAGGAAUACCAUCUUUCGGAUAUCGCUAGUUUUCCUCGCCUGCCGAAGGCCGCCGCCUUUCUGCCUCCAAGUUUCAUGCCGUGCUUCCAAGAGAUCUUCCAUCGAAUGUUUAGUGUAUAUCAAGAGAGGAAAUGAGAUUUACCUUUCACUUUGAAGUUAUUCCUUCCAAACUGGGACGCUGAACAAAACUAAGCUUGAUAUUCACUAUGAAGUAACUAACUUCACUUGUUAUGUACAGAACUGCACUGUCACUGUGAGUCGUCAUUGUUAUAUGUGCAUGAAAUUAGAUCACUUGGAUUGUCUCCAAGCCUGAUUCCUGAUGUGAACCUGUGUAUUGCGCAAUAAAGAAAAAUAUACUUAGAAAACCUGA